ACACUCGGAGACUCAAAGCCUCCUGAACUCCAGGGUCCAGUGACUUCGGCAGAGCUCCACCCAUGGCAUAUAAGAAAUACUACUUCGAUGUUGACAAGUACGGUGUGGACUUUUAUGAAGAAGAAGUAGCAUCUGAAAUCCAGCAACGGAGGUUAGCAACAACAGAUGAUAGCCACACUGAAGAAGUUGUAGGAAUCCUGAAGGGACUGAGCUACAUAAACGCUGUGUUGGACCACAACUACAACCGUCCAAUGAAGAGCGACACCUGUAGGAAACCCCUUGAGCCUGCACAAGAAGAGGAGGAGGAGGAGCCUGUUUUUCGAAAGCCAACCAAGUAUUGCCGAAAGCAGUACAAGUUCACUCCUGAACAACUACUUGAACUAGACAGAAUUUUUGAAGAAACUCAAUGCCCCGAUACACUCCAAAGGAAAGAGAUUGCAAAGCUCAUGAAUGUAGAGGAAUGCACUGUGAAGAUUUGGUUCUGCAAUCAAAGAGCCAAACUUAGGAAAAAUCAGAAGGCAGCACCGUGCAACAAAGCCCUACCUAAUAAACAGAGCUGCUUUCCCCGAAAGGUUUUGAAAGAAACCAAGAACGUUGUUGUUCUUCAGGAGCCGCUUGCGGAUGAGUUUUUCUGCUGUCGGCCACAUGUUAGCCACCCAAAUUGGCGGUGACAACACUAUCACUUUAUGUAAAUUAGCAAUAAAGAGGAGAAAUCUCUUUUUGCUUCAA
This is a long non-coding RNA of Mus musculus (house mouse), 729 nucleotides long. RefSeq annotates it as reproductive homeobox 11, pseudogene 2. The transcript has 3 exons. NCBI's taxonomy places the organism in Eukaryota, Metazoa, Chordata, Mammalia, Rodentia, Muridae. The record is from RefSeq and is marked validated.